GUUUUCUCUUUGGCAGCACAUAAAUUAAAAUUGGAAUGAUACAGAGAAGAUUAGCAUGGCCCCUGCGCAAGGAUGAUGUGCAAAUUCAUAAAGUGUUCCAUAUUUUU
Molecule: non-coding RNA, 107 nt
Organism: Sus scrofa (pig)
Lineage: Eukaryota; Metazoa; Chordata; Mammalia; Artiodactyla; Suidae
Source: Rfam